Molecule: ribosomal RNA, 392 nt
Filed under: uncultured bacterium
Lineage: Bacteria
Description: partial 16S ribosomal RNA
Rfam family: Bacterial small subunit ribosomal RNA
Source: RNAcentral
AUACGGAGGAUCCGAGCGUUAUCCGGAUUUAUUGGGUUUAAAGGGUGCGCAGGCGGCCAUUUAAGUCAGCGGUUAAAUCGUGGGGCUCAACCCCAUUCUGCCGUUGAUACUGGGUGGCUUGAUUGCGGUCGAGGUUGGCGGAAUUCGUUGUGUAGCGGUGAAAUGCAUAGAUAUGACGAAGAACACCGAUUGCGUAGGCAGCUGACCAGACCGCAAAUGACGCUCAUGCACGAAAGUGCGGGGAUCGAACAGGAUUAGAUACCCUGGUAGUCCGCACAGUAAACGAUGAAUACUUGUUUUCGGCGAUAUAAUGUCGGAGGCAAAGCGAAAGCGAUAAGUAUUCCACCUGGGGAGUACGCCGGCAACGGUGAAACUUAGAGGAAUUGACGGGG